Molecule: transfer RNA, 77 nt
Filed under: Podarcis lilfordi (Lilford's wall lizard)
Lineage: Eukaryota; Metazoa; Chordata; Lepidosauria; Squamata; Lacertidae
Description: tRNA.Lys
Rfam family: tRNA
About the family: Transfer RNA (tRNA) molecules are approximately 80 nucleotides in length. Their secondary structure includes four short double-helical elements and three loops (D, anti-codon, and T loops).
Source: RNAcentral
GCCACAACUGAUAGCUCAGUUGGUAGAGCAUGCGACUCUUAAUCUCAGGGUUGUGGGUUCGAGCCCCACGUUGGGCA